This 81-nucleotide transfer RNA is filed under the name Monomastix sp. OKE-1. RNAcentral describes it as "tRNA-Leu". It matches the Rfam family "tRNA". Rfam says of the family: Transfer RNA (tRNA) molecules are approximately 80 nucleotides in length. Their secondary structure includes four short double-helical elements and three loops (D, anti-codon, and T loops). The record is from RNAcentral. Lineage: Eukaryota; Viridiplantae; Chlorophyta; Mamiellophyceae; Monomastigales; Monomastigaceae.
GCUCGCUUGGUGAAAUGGUAAACACUGCAGACUUAAAAUCUGUUGGGGCGACCCUUAUCGGUUCAAUUCCGAUAGUGAGCA